GAUGAAGAACGUAGCGAAAUGCGAUAAGUAAUGUGAAUUGCAGAAUUCAGUGAAUCAUCGAAUCUUUGAACGCACAUUGCGCCCGCCAGUAUUCUGGCGGGCAUGCCUGUUCGAGCGUCAUUUCAACCCUCAAGCCCAGCUUGGUGUUGGGGAUCGGCACAGGCGCCCUCGGGCGCCAGCCGUCCCCUAAAUCUAGUGGCGGUCCCGCUGCAGCCUCCUCUGCGUAGUAGUUUUCUCCUCGCAAGGGCAGCUCGGUGGCGACCUCGCCGUAAAGCCCCCAACUUCUGAAAGGUUGACCUCGAAUCAGGUAGGAAUACCCGCUGAACUUAAGCAUAUCAAUAAGCGGAGGA
This 350-nucleotide unclassified non-coding RNA is filed under the name soil metagenome. RNAcentral's name for it is "partial contains 5.8S ribosomal RNA, internal transcribed spacer 2, and large subunit ribosomal RNA". The stretch from base 1 to 120 matches the Rfam family "5.8S ribosomal RNA", at positions 35 to 154 of the family's 154-position model. The record is from RNAcentral.